GACGAACGCUGGCGGCGUGCUUAACACAUGCAAGUCGAACGGAAAGGCCCCUUUGGGGGUACUCGAGUGGCGAACGGGUGAGUAACACGUGAGUAACCUGCCCUUGACUUCGGGAUAACUUCAGGAAACUGGGGCUAAUACCGGAUAGGAAUCCUUGCUGCAUGGUGGGGGUUGGAAAGCUUCGGCGGUUUUGGAUGGACUCGCGGCUUAUCAGCUUGUUGGUGGGGUAGUGGCUUACCAAGGCUUUGACGGGUAGCCGGCCUGAGAGGGCGACCGGCCACAUUGGGACUGAGAUGCGGCCCAGACUCCUACGGGAGGCAGCAGUGGGGAAUAUUGCACAAUGGGCGGAAGCCUGAUGCAGCAACGCCGCGUGCGGGAGGACGGCCUUCGGGUUGUAAACCGCUUUCAGCAGGGGCGAAGCUUGUGGUGACGGUACCUGCAGAAGAAGCACCGGCUAACUACGUG
Molecule: ribosomal RNA, 465 nt
Filed under: uncultured bacterium
Lineage: Bacteria
Description: partial 16S ribosomal RNA
Rfam family: Bacterial small subunit ribosomal RNA
Source: RNAcentral